Salvelinus fontinalis (brook trout) is the source of this 2020-nucleotide long non-coding RNA. RefSeq lists it as uncharacterized. The transcript is spliced from 2 exons. Lineage: Eukaryota; Metazoa; Chordata; Actinopteri; Salmoniformes; Salmonidae. The record is from RefSeq and is a predicted model, not a curated record.
GCCCCUGUUGAGGUGGCUAAUGUUACUCACUGGACAGCCACUCGUUCAUAGAACAUCAGCUUGCGAAUAACUAUUUAUUUUCUUCUUAUGUCGACAACAACUGUAAAGUUUAGUCAUAGCGUGGUGCUCGGUACCUUGAUGUGCAAACUACAAGCAAGCACAGCCUGUUGGGAUUCUGAUCACAUCAACAUCUGCAGCGACAUCAACAUCAAGCUCAGCACCAGGAACUAGUGUAAGUCACCUUUGCUAAAUCUUUCAAUGACUCCAUGAUGAGCAAAAAAAUAUACUGUAUAAAUAUAUAUAAUUAAAUAUAAUAUAAAUAUACAUACAUGCACAUUUGUGGCCUGCUGGAGGUCAUUUUGCAGGGCUCUGGCAGUGCUCCUCCUUGCACAAAGGCGGAGGUAGCGGUCCUGCUGCUGGGUUGUUGCCCUCCUACGGCCUCCACGUCUCCUGAUGUACUGGCCUGUCUCCUGGUAGCGCCUCCAUGCUCUGGACACUACGCUGACAGACACAGCAAACCUUCUUGCCACAGCUCGCAUUGAUGUGCCAUCCUGGAUGAGCUGCACUACCUGAGCCACUUGUGUGGGUUGUAGACUCCGUCUCAUGCUACCACUAGAGUGAGAGCACCGCCAGCAUUCAAAAGUGACCAAAACAUCAGCCAGGAAGCAUAGGAACUGAGAAGUGGUCUGUGGUCACCACCUGCAGAACCACUCCUUUAUUGGGGGUGUCUUGCUAAUUGCCUAUAAUUUCCACCUUUUGUCUAUUCCAUUUGCACAACAGCAUGUGAAAUUUAUUGUCAAUCAGUGUUGCUUCCUAAGUGGACAGUUUGAUUUCACAGAAGUGUGAUUGACUUGGAGUUACAUUGUGUUGUUUAAGUGUUCCCUUUAUUUUUUUGAGCAGUGUAUAUUCACUGAGGAGAAUGGUCCUCACCUUCCUCCUCUCAGGAGCCUCCACUGAUGUUGCAUCCCCGCAUAUUUGACGUACUUCAAGUUCUCAAUGGUGUUACUGCUUUGCCUCCAGGCAUUGCUGACUUCUACCAGGGAGUUCUGGAUGUCCUUCACAUCCCCCAGAGCAUUGUGGAGCUGACGGAGGCCUGAAUGGACCCCUUUUAACUGGGAGUGGAUUGCAGCCUGGAGAGUGGGGACAAACAGUUGUAAAUUAUUUAGAUAUGGUUUUUAAUUAAUCAAAGGGCAGUACAGAUUCACAGUAUGCACCCAAUGUUAAAGCUAAACAAAUAAUUUUCUAAAUUCAGUCGUGCUUCUACUAAAACUCCAGAUCUAACUGGGUGAUCAAUAAAUCAUGGGAUUUAUGUCAGUUGCUAGGUCUUAGCAGGUGAAUGAUUCAUUUUCUAAUGAUUACGCUAGCUAGCUAUGGCUCCAUACAGAAUCAAGCUAGCUAGCUAACUUAAAAAUAGCUUGCAAAAUAACUUUAGCUAAUCGAUUUCGGUAUCUACCAUCAUCCAUCAACGAAAACCACAUAUUUUAAUCUUCUUCUGUGGUUUGGUAACGUUUGGACUCUGGCUAGACUGAAGACAACGCAAAGUUUGGAAAAUGUCAAAUUAUACAAUGUCCUUCUUGCAACGGAGCCUUCAACCGCAAGGGGGUGUUGUAAAUCCACUCCAUUGUGGACGUCCCCAUUGAAAUGCAUGACAUCCAGCGCAACGUAAUGGAGUGCUUAUGGGUACUGUGAACGAGGCAUAAUGGUUACCUUAUGGACGCUGUAGCCUUGUUUUACUCCGAUGUGUAGAAUUUGAGCUAGGUUCGACCCAAAAAUUGUCUGACAACCCGCUAGAUACAAUGGUUACAAUGGUAUCUUCAACCUAGCCUACCGUUUAGCUAGCUGCUCUGCAGUGCAAGCUAGCUUGACUCGCUAUAAAGUUAGAGAUACAAGUUGAGGAUUUUUCUUUCGAACGAAUAUGUUUAUUAUCACCUGAAACAAUAUAUUUAUCUGGUCUUUCAAUGAAAAGGUCAUAUUUUACAAUCUCCCAAAAUAAAUGUGAUCUCUUGUGUUACAAACACUA